Molecule: RNA transcript, 2253 nt
Organism: Hordeum vulgare subsp. vulgare (domesticated barley)
Lineage: Eukaryota; Viridiplantae; Streptophyta; Magnoliopsida; Poales; Poaceae
Gene name: polyamine oxidase 4-like
Exons: 8
Source: RefSeq, a predicted model, not a curated record
CGUCCGUCCGUGCCCCGGCCGACCUCCCCUCCCCUCCCCUCCGUCCGCUCUAUAUAACGCCACGCCCACCUUCCCCGGAAGCCACGCAACACAGAUCCUCGGAUCAAUUCCGCCCGCCAACCGGAAGAAGAAAGAUCAACCUUUGCUUCUCGCCGCCGGCGCCGGUGAGGAAGGAAGGAAGCGGGGGAUCCCACUCGGUGUUGCCGGUUUGGAGCCAGGGUGAUGAGCUGCCUCACGUUCCGCCGCUCCGCCGACGCAAGCCGCCUCCAGGACGGCCUCCUCGUCUUCAUGUUCUUCAUCUCGAUUCCCAUACGUAGUCUGAAUCUGAAUAGUAAUCGUGCUAGUAGCAAUUCUAGUACGUAUUAUUACUAGUAGCACCAGCAGUCUCCUGUAAACGUACGCUGCUCGUGCUCGCGCUCGCGCGGACGGAGGGGUCUUCCUCUGCUGCUGCUCCGUCUGCAUCUUCGUCUUCUGCUUCUUCUUUCCCUCGGUCGACGGCCGCGACGGCGGCCAUGGAUCCCAGCAGCUUCAAAACCGGAGGCCUUCUGCUUCCAACCAUUGAGAGACGGUGCGCUUCGCCUCCAUCUGUCAUCGUGAUCGGCGGCGGAAUCUCGGGGAUUGCCGCGGCUCGUGUCCUCUCCAACUCCUCUUUUGAGGUGACUGUCCUUGAGUCGAGAGAUCGAAUUGGUGGCCGUGUUCAUACGGAUUACUCCUUCGGAUGCCCCAUCGACAUGGGAGCCUCAUGGUUGCACGGUGUCAGUAAUGAGAAUUCUUUAGCACCAUUGAUCGGCCAUCUUGGGCUGAGAUUAUACCACACAAGUGGUGACAACUCUGUUCUGUAUGACCAUGAUUUGGAAAGCUGUUCGCUCUUUGAUAAGAACGGCCUUGCAGUCCCAAUGGAGACAGCUGCUAAAGUUGGCGUGAUAUUUGAGAAAAUUCUCAAGGAGAACAGUAUAACUCCGUGAUGAGCAGGAACACGACAUGCCCCUUGAACAGGCCAUCUCAAUGGUGCUUGAGAGGCACACCUGAUCUCAAGCUACAAGGGCUAGAUGAUCGAAUCCUGCAAUGGUGUGUCUGCCGGCUGGAGGCAUGGUUUGCUGCAGAUGCAGACGAAAUAUCUCUGAAAAACUGGGAUCAGGAACAUGUUCUCACUGGUGGCCAUGGUCUGAUGGUGGAUGGAUACUAUCCUGUAAUUCAGGCUCUCGCUCAAGGUCUCGACAUCCGUCUGAAUCAGAGAGUAAAGAAAAUUGCACACCAGCAAAAGGGAGUGACGGUCACCAUCGAGGACGGCACACAAUACUCGGCCGACGCCUGCAUAAUCACUGUGCCGCUUGGUGUGCUGAAGGCAAACAUAAUCAAGUUCGAGCCCGAGCUGCCAUCCUGGAAGAGCUCUGCCAUCGCCGACCUUGGCGUCGGCAUAGAGAACAAGGUUGCCAUGCACUUCGACAAGGCCUUCUGGCCCAAUGUCCAGGUGCUGGGCAUGGUUGGCCCGACGCCAAAGACCUGCGGCUACUUCCUGAACCUCCACAAGGCCACCGGGCACCCGGUGCUUGUCUUCAUGGCCGCCGGUCGGUUUGCCCAGGAUGUGGAGAAGCUCUCAGACAAGGAGGCCGUUGAACUCGUCAUGUGUCACCUGAGGAAGAUGAUACCCAAUGCCACUGAACCCAGUCAAUACCUGGUGUCACGGUGGGGCUCAGACCCGAACUCGCUGGGGUCCUACUCGUGCGAUCUGGUGGGGAAGCCGUCGGACGUCUGCGAGAGGUUCUCGGCGCCUGUGGAGAGCGUGUUGUACUUCGCCGGAGAGGCGGCCAGUGCGGAGCACUCAGGCGCUGUGCAUGGUGCCUACUCGUCUGGGAUGGACGCUGCAGAGGAAUGCCGGAGGAGGUUGCUGAUGAGGAAAGGCGUCCCCGACCUUGUCCAGGUCGGCGCCGCCUCCGAGGAGAUGGCCGACAUCGUCGCCCCUCUCCAGAUUUGCCGCACCUAGAGAUGAUUCUUGGAUACAGCUGCGUCCUGCCAUGCCCGAUUGAUUUGAUGAUUGACAAAGCCAAUCAAUGUGCAGUCAAUCAGUCCGAAUCGGCAGAACGCAGGAUUGAAUUCAAUUUUUUUUACAGCUUCUAUUUUCUUGUCUUGAUUGGGAUCAAGAAACCUUUGAUUGCCUGUGCUUGUGCACCCUGGACACUUGAUUUAUAGUGUUACCUAUGUUAUGUUAUGUUCAGUGAAUCAAUUUAAUACAAGUGACAUUUGGGGACUGAA